RNAcentral lists this ribosomal RNA (385 nucleotides) under uncultured bacterium. RNAcentral's name for it is "bacterial SSU rRNA". It matches the Rfam family "Bacterial small subunit ribosomal RNA", at positions 30 to 417 of the family's 1533-position model. The record is from RNAcentral.
AUUGAACGCUGGCGGCAUGCCUUACACAUGCAAGUCGAACGGCAGCACGGGAGCAAUCCUGGUGGCGAGUGGCGAACGGGUGAGUAAUAUAUCGGAACGUGCCCGGUCGUGGGGAUAACGUAGCGAAAGCUACGCUAAUACCGCAUACGAUCUACGGAUGAAAGCGGGGGAUCGCAAGACCUCGCGCGAUUGGAGCGGCCGAUAUCAGAUUAGGUAGUUGGUGAGGUAAAGGCUCACCAAGCCGACGAUCUGUAGCUGGUCUGAGAGGACGACCAGCCACACUGGGACUGAGACACGGCCCAGACUCCUACGGGAGGCAGCAGUGGGAAUUUUGGACAAUGGGCGCAAGCCUGAUCCAGCAAUGCCGCGUGCAGGAUGAAGGCCU